Molecule: ribosomal RNA, 512 nt
Filed under: uncultured bacterium
Lineage: Bacteria
Description: bacterial SSU rRNA
Rfam family: Bacterial small subunit ribosomal RNA
Source: RNAcentral
UUAUGGCUCAGGAUGAACGCUAGCUACAGGCUUAACACAUGCAAGUCGAGGGGCAGCAGAUCGAAAGCUUGCUUUGAUGCUGGCGACCGGCGCACGGGUGAGUAACGCGUAUCCAACCUUCCCUAUAGUAGAGAAUAGCCCGGCGAAAGUCGGAUUAAUGCUCUAUGUUGUAUUUAGAAGACAUCUGAAGAAUACCAAAGGUUUACCGCUGUAGGAUGGGGAUGCGUCUGAUUAGGUAGUAGGCGGGGUAACGGCCCACCUAGCCGACGAUCAGUAGGGGUUCUGAGAGGAAGGUCCCCCACAUUGGAACUGAGACACGGUCCAAACUCCUACGGGAGGCAGCAGUGAGGAAUAUUGGUCAAUGGACGGAAGUCUGAACCAGCCAAGUAAGCGUGCAGGAUGACGGCCCUAUGGGUUGUAAACUGCUUUUAUAUAGGGAUAAAGUCGGGGACGUGUCCCCGUUUGUAGGUACUAUAUGAAUAAGGACCGGCUAAUUCCGUGCCAGCAGCCGC